AACGCGAAGAACCUUACCUGGGCUUGACAUGUUCCCGACGGUCGUAGAGAUACGGCUUCCCUUCGGGGCGGGUUCACAGGUGGUGCAUGGUCGUCGUCAGCUCGUGUCGUGAGAUGUUGGGUUAAGUCCCGCAACGAGCGCAACCCUCGCCCCGUGUUGCCAGCGGAUUAUGCCGGGAACUCACGGGGGACCGCCGGGGUUAACUCGGAGGAAGGUGGGGAUGACGUCAGAUCAUCAUGCCCCUUACGUCCAGGGCUUCACGCAUGCUACAAUGGCCGGUACAACGGGAUGCGACGCGGCGACGCGGAGCGGAUCCCUGAAAACCGGUCUCAGUUCGGAUCGCAGUCUGCAACUCGACUGCGUGAAGGCGGAGUCGCUAGUAAUCGCGAAUCAG
Molecule: ribosomal RNA, 394 nt
Filed under: uncultured bacterium
Lineage: Bacteria
Description: bacterial SSU rRNA
Rfam family: Bacterial small subunit ribosomal RNA
Source: RNAcentral